This 5717-nucleotide long non-coding RNA is filed under the name Triticum aestivum (bread wheat). Its description in RNAcentral is "long non-coding RNA (TAES_LNC023920)". The record is from RNAcentral. Lineage: Eukaryota; Viridiplantae; Streptophyta; Magnoliopsida; Poales; Poaceae.
GGUAGUGCAAAGCCAGCAUCCUUUUUGUUUGGCACUAUAAAACAAUGAUAUCUUGAUGCUGAAGCAUUAUAUUAUUGUUUAAAUGAUACUAGCAUAGAUGCAGCUUAGUUGCCAAUUUGUCACUUGUGAAGAUCUUCACAUGUCGUAGUUUCGUAACAGGGGAUAUAACACAUGUGGAUUUUUUAACAUGUCGUAGUUGAUGACAGGGCAUAUGGUGAACUGACCACUUGUCUCUGUACAUAUUCUUUCACCCGGAGACCAUCGGUUGGUUUAUGAUAGCUUAUGCAAAAUGUAUGUUCACAGAUUUUAUCCUAGGCUUAUACCAUGUACCAAAAAAUAGAGCUAGAGUAUGACUAUCUAAAUUUGCUGUUCAUGUCCAGUGCUGAAGCACAAAAUAGAAGGGUGCAGAUGAGGAGGCGGGGGCUGACGACAGCCACGGGAGGAGGUCAGGGUGGUUGAAGAAUAAGGCACGGGCGGCUCCGGCAAGACGUGUCUCCAGUGGAUGUCCACGAUGAGGCAAUGAGAAGACCCUCUCUGUGAGCCCUAUCCCUCUCAUUUGGCCUCUCGAUUUAUGGUUCUCAUGCUCCCUGUUUCUGUGUUCUUUGUUUGUGGUGAUCACUAAUCAGUCUCGUCUUCGGCACCUGGAUCCUCGUCAUCGAUCUUUCCCACCCGGACGAACGCACCAUGGCCUCUCAGAUCACACACAAGACUAAUCCAUGGCUGAGUAACAUCACCCUCUUUCUUUUUUUCUCUUCAUUCUUCCAUGUUCCUCUUUUAAGUAGUCUCUCCUUGGACUACUCUACAAGGUGUCAAUUUGUACUAUUUUUUCUUGUUGCCUUAUACAAUCUGUCAAUCAUACACUUUUGACCUCUAUGUACGUGUUGGCUGAUUCAUUUUUGCAAUACAAAAGACGAUGAUGCCAUGACAGACCAAUCUUGCAAUUUCACCAUCCAUUUGAUGUCUCCGCUCUUAAGAUAAGGUAAUAUUAGCUGGAUCCGUGCUACUUCCUCCAAUAACAGUAUAUGAUUGGCAUGUGUGUAUUACAGAUCUGACACACAUAUGUUUGGAAAUGGAGACGGUUUCGUCUUGUUCUGUGUCUUUGUCAUCCGGCAAGUGUCUAGAUUUCUUUUAAUUUCUUGAGUAUUACUUUUAAAAGUCGAAGUGCAGUGUGAUGCCAGUGAGGAGGUUAGCUCUUUUGCUCUUCACGAGCUUCUGUUGAUAUUUGACUAGCAUGGUACUAUCUGAUUUGGCACUACCAUUUUUGUUGACUUAUAUACGGCCAUGUUUUUCCUUGUAAAAAACAUCCAAGCCACUGUAACAUGUUUCGUAAGCAAGACCUUAAAUCGUGUUUCCGGAUCUGUCUCAACAAGGAUAUGAAAGAAUUACCAUCACUGUAGCUGGAUAUCAUACAUGAUAUUGUGGAUAUAUACUUGCUAUGGUUUUUCCAUUAUAAGGUAUAACUGUCGCAGCUAUAACGGGCUAUUGUUGAUUUGUUAUUGUCCCUUGUUUGUCUCACAGUUUAGUCCUUCCACUGUGAAGCAGACCAAAAUUGUCAUACAUGAACAAUUACUAUAUAUGUGCUAUGUACUUCCUGCAAAUCCCACACCACUAAUUUCCGCUAAAACCACACUACUAAUUGAUAUUGUAUAGAAUAUACGAGGGCAAAUUUCACUAGGUUGUUCAUUGACUAGAUCGUCCUAGUUAUCAUACUAUACUGAGCGGUUGAAUUAUCGUAUUGAUUGGAGCAAGGUGAGUAUAGCGGCGAGAUCUUAAAAAGUGGUUCUUAGUGGUGUACAUGUUGUAGGUGAUCAAUUUGGUCUGGUUGAAUUUUUCUUUUAUCUUUGUGAUUGCUUUUCUCAAAAUCGAUUAAAAAAUAAUGAUGCAUAUUCAUUUCUGACAUUUGAUGCCUAGAUGUUUGAUUAUAGAGCGGACAAGUCAAUGUUAUUCUUUGGAAGUUCCAAAGUCAAACUACUUACAUCAUUGUUUCUACAUUAUAUUUGUUUCUCUAUGAAAACAUAAUUGUGAUGUAAGAAUUCUUAUGGAUCAAUGCACAUAACAGUUAUGCAGCAAACCUUUCUCUAUAAAGUUCAAAUUAUAUACAUUGAAGAUUCUGAAGUGGGUCAGGUUUUGUAUAUGUUUGCUAAUAUAGAUCGACUUUAGUAUUUUGUAUGGUUUAUAAUAUAAUUUAUGGAUCAAUAUUUUUGCAUAAAGCUCCCCUUUGGACUGUAGUUUUCUUCUGCUGCAGUUGUGUUGGUUGCCCAACAUAAAAGCUCUAAGAUUUGGCACAUGUUUUAAUGCUAAUAUUUUAAGCUGUCGAUAGUUAUACUUCAUGUGCUUUGAUGAGCAAAUGAUAUUUUCAUGCAGAAGUCAAUAUUAUCUGCAAUUUAAAAGUGUCUUAUAUUUGCAUAUAAAUUAUUUGAUGUCACAAUAUGAGCAUUUAGGCUCUUAUCUGAUAUAUUUACAUACCCUCCUCCUUUUAGCUCUCGUUCUGAAAUAAAAGUGAAUUAUUAUUGGAAAUACACCAGAUUCUUCCCAUAUGGCAAUGGUAGUUCUAGGAUUAGUUCUUAAGUGCUUGCGACUUAUUACCGAGUACUUCUACUUAAUAUUUCUUAUUAUUUGUUGUCAAAUAGGCGUAAAUGCACCAUAUUUAUUUUUGUUAAUAAUCAUCAACUUGAUAUUAGAGCUUGGUCGUCUCAGUUUAUAUUAGAGCUUUCUCACGUGGUGCAUCAGUAUAAUAAGUUUAUAAAAAAUUGCAUGUAUGUGCUAUCUAGAUCCAUAAAGGAAAUUGAAGGGGCGUUCCCCUACCUGGCACUGCCCAAUACAAUCUCUGAAUAUGUUGCAUUUGCACUGCUCUAUACUCUCUUGUAAAAUAUAAUUUGUACUAUGAAGUACACAAACUGACAUAUGCUCUCUUGUAAAAUACAUAUUGAACCUGAGCCAAUGACUUACCCUCAGAGGCCUAGAGAAACUAUUUGUGAUGUAUGUUGUGAAGACCGUAUUUUGCAAGUUUAUUGAAAGAUGCAAGUUUCACCAUCCAGUUGAUUGGUCUGCACCUGAUUGCAUUGCAAAAUGGAAGGAGAGAGAGGUAACAUCAAGAAAUAAUCCCACUAAAUUUGUUGCCAAUUCAUGAUAUAAAUGGUUUUUCUAUAAUGUUUUCCCUAUUUUAUUUUUCCAAAUCAUUCUCACUUUGUUACCUAUACAUGAUGGCCCUAAUUUUCCUUUUCAGUUCAGACCCCGUUCCAAAUAUGAUCGAAAUGAUUGCAAUACUAAUUAUGAUUUGCAAACCGAAUAUUGAAGUAAUAACUAUAACUCUACACUCUACAGUAAGGUGUGCAGAGUAAAAAAUGGUCUAAAUAAAUGAAGAGAACCCCUGUACAAGCAACUUUUGAUGAACGCUAAUCGAAUCAUUCUUGUGAAAUCUGUAGAGUGUUUCUGUUGUUUCUUUCUGUAGGCAUAUUUUUUGUACCGAGUUAUUUUGGUGUAUGUCCAAUCUUGUAUUUCCAGUUGAGGCAUACAAUCGAAAUUCAUAAUGUAUUGCAAUAUGGCUGGUGUUGGGAUAGUAUGUGGAUUUGAUUCAGUUUCUUAGUGUCAUUCUAGAUUAGCGAUUUAAUCUCCCAAAGAUGUUGAACAAUUUCAUGCAAAUGGUGCCCAUCAACGCUGCUACCCUUGGAAAAUUGCCAUGAUAUGGAUUGACGACCACGGGGCGUGUUUAUUGCCUCUACCGGAGAGCGGGAGGACGCAGACCAGGGCCAACCCAAGUUGGAUGACGAGGUGUCAUCGAAGGCGGAGGAGAGGUCCGACGUGAGCAGUGAUAUGGUGGGGUUUAGCAAGGUCAAUAAGGUGACCCGCAGGGCUUGGCAAGAAGGUGAGACAUGGCCGCAGGAGCGGAGCACAUCUUCAGAAGGAUGAACAGGCAUGGCGACGGCAUGCACCUGGUUGCGACCUCAAUUUUAAAAUACUCAUCGGGUCUUUCGUUCCAGCAGUCAUGAUAUAGCUUGAGCGUUUGUCCCAUCGACGAAGACUACUUACUAUACGCGUUUUCGAGUUGCAUUUAGUGCUCUUUUUCGUCGCCAGCUAAAUCAAUCAAUUUGACAAGAUCUUGCAACUCUCUCCGUUUGGAUUUCGAGUCCAAAAGGCGAAGCUUGAGUACUUUGAAGAGCAUUUAAGAACAGCUCAUAAGCAAUUCCAAGUGGCAGAGAUGACUCGAGGGACCUCGCCCAACUAUGAACCGUACGAGCACAUCCUCUGUCACCCCCACCGCGCUUACGGCUCUAUACCCCUGUGAGGUGCCCAUAGCUUCCUGGAAAGAAGAAGAUUUGGCCCAAUAGUCCCUCCAAUUUGAAGUGAUCAAGCCACCACAGGCCAGUUCAGGCUUCUGAAUUUGUGGUUUUGAUCAAUGGCAAACAUGUACAUAGAUGUAGCAGAAUUCACUAGACACGGUUACCAGUUGUGGAUUCAUUACAAUAUAUUUUAUCUUAAUAAAUAUAUUUGAUGUUCGUUCGUGUAGCCUUUGGUUUUUAUAUAUUGAUUCAGUGUUGUACCUACGCUAACAAUUCAUACAGGUGAUAGAUACGUAGCAUUUCUAGCUGAAAAGGAAGGGAAACAAGCUUGCCAUUAAUUAAUGUAGUAAUUUGACUAGGCAAUGGUUCGUGGAAGGGAUUAAGAUGAGCAGACAAUAUGGCAGCUCAGAGUAACUAUCCCAGGGCGGUUGAUAACCAGGCAGCACAGAGGAAUUGUCUCAUGACAGCAUGUUUGAGUAAGUUUUUUCAUAGUUUUCUCAAACACUUGUCUACCAUUAUUUUAGAAGAGUGUUGAUUAUGUUACCUCCUGUUCUUAAAAUCCUGAGAAUCAUUCCUGGUCUUAAUACUUCAUUCCAUUUACUUGUUUUGGGUUUGCUAUGGGUGUUGGAGGAGAUAGAUUGGGCAGAACUACAACCUGAGGUUGUGCAGGUUUAGGGAUACCUCUUGCCAAGGUUAUAUCAUUUAAAGUUUGGCGAAAGACAAAAAUAUAUAAUAGGUAAAUAAAGCUCAAUUCAUCACCGAAAUAAUUAUGAAUAUCAAUGUAGUAAAGCUAUGAUAUAUGUUGUCAAUAACAUUUUAUAAUUCUUUGGUAACAUCACCGAAACUAUUGAUUUAUCUUCUCUAAUUUAUUACAGUUCGCUUUGUUUUAGAUUGGGUGUUAAUAGAAAAAGUUCAUUAUUUGCAUCAGCUAUAAGUUUACAUUAUGCAAAUGACAGUAACAAAAAUAGUAUGACACAAAUUCAGGUGAUGACCAACCAAGGAGAGGAUGUUGAUGAGAUCAAUGACACCAGAGGGACAGACAGGCAGCUGCGAAGCAUCCGACAGAACAGCCGGUGAACAGGAGGAGCAAAGGAAGCAUCUCUUGCGUCACUCUAAACAUCUGCUGCUUGCAGAGCUUCAGCCGGUGAACAGGAGGAGCUUCAGCUCCGUUGUCGUGAACUUCAACGGUUGGCCGAGCUUCAACCUCUUGCCCCUCAAGUGUACAGUUGGUUCUACGCCAAAUAGGUUUCACAAUUUUCUGUUGUUAUUUGUACAAUAUAGUGUUUAAUCUGGUUGUGAAUAAUCCGCCACCUAAGGGGAUCAAGGUCUCUAAAAUAUUGUUGUUUGUUCAAAUGUUCUUUGUUUUGUUAUUAAUUGUCAAUUGUAUUGCAAAUUCCUUGCUUAUAUGUGCAUGUUCAUCAGCAAUUAAAGAAAAAA